RNAcentral lists this long non-coding RNA (1864 nucleotides) under Pan troglodytes (chimpanzee). RNAcentral describes it as "long non-coding RNA NONPTRT009755". The record is from RNAcentral. Lineage: Eukaryota; Metazoa; Chordata; Mammalia; Primates; Hominidae.
UGCCUCGGCCUCCCAAAGUGCUGGGAUUACAGACGUGAGCCACUGCGCCCGGCUUCUCAAAGGGAUUUUACGCCCAUGGUUGGGUUCUGUCUUAUAGCAAGCUGACCUGAAGAUAGGGAAAGUAUUUGAGUGUGAGCCUUGCCCUAACCACAUGAGCCUAUUCAAAGUAGUUUUCUGCUGGUAGAAGAGGAGGAAGUCAGGGAUUUGAAGCAUGUGGGGGAUUCAGCACAUGAGAAAUCCUCUGUUGUUGACUUGAAGAUGGAGGGAGCCCCAUGGCAAGGAAGGUGGACGGCCUCUAGGAGCCGUGAGAGGACCUGGCUUACAGCCAGCCAGCGAGGACAUGGGGACCUCAGUCCCACAGCCGCAAGGAUUGGAAUUCUGCCAACAAGUGGAGCUUGGAAGCCAAUUCUUCCCCAGAACCGGCAGAAAGGAACGCAACCUGGUAGAUGCCUCAAUUUCAGCCCUCUGGGACCCGGAGCAAAAAAACCCAGCCACACAGAACCUGGACUUCUGACUGCCAGAACUGGGAGCUAAUGAAUACAUGGCACAGAGUUGGUGGGCGCCUGAGAGAGCUACUCAGCUGUGAGGUCCUUCCCCUGGACUUGAGCACAGGCCUUCUGGCUCAGGGUGCUGAGGGAUGGUGCUCCCCUGUGAGGGGGGUGCCCGGGGCACCCCAGCCUCCCUCAGGAACUCCCAGGCCCCUCAGAAGCAGGAAGUUGGGCUGACCAAAGCUGUGGUAGCUCAGCUAUAUACAUGGCCCCUCUUGACCCUUCUCUGUGAACUGAGGUGCUCUACCUGACGGCCUCUUCACCAAGGGAAAAUGCUUCAGGCAUUUGGGAGCGUGCACCCUGAGAAGGCCUCAGCAAGUUUUUGGAGAUUGUCAUUCACAGAAACGGGGUCCCAUUAUAUUGUCCAGGCUGGUCUCAAACUCCUGGGCUCGAGUGAUCUGCCCGCCUCAGCCUCUCAAAUUGUUGGGAUUACAGGCAUGAGCCGCCGCACCCGGCCUGACGAGGCUUCUUGCUGCACUUAAAGGAAUGACAGCUAUAGAGGGCAUAUGGGACUGGAAGGCAUCGGAUCCAUAACAUCCUUACGCCUUCUGGAAAUGUGAAAAAUGUUUCACAAAAGCACAGCCUAAGGCCUCAUGUGAUGAGGUGGGCUCUCCACAAGUUCCUGGGGCAGAGUCUGAAGACCUGCUGCUGGGUAGGGGCUUCCUCCUGGUCCCCAAGGGCCCACUCUCUCAGGCCCACCUUGAGGCCACCCUGCUGGGCCACUUCCCGGAUUUUGGACAGCAUUGAUUGGAGCCGCCCGUUCUCCUCCUGUAGGACCCGGAUGCGGAUGUCGUUGGCCUGCACUUGCCUCUCCAUGUGAUCUGUGACGUUGCCAGAGUCUGUGGGACAUGUUAUCUGGGAUUCCACGCUGCUGGAUCUGCCUCCUGUGCCCAAUGGGACAGGACCUUAGAAGGGAGGCACACCAGCUUGGGCGGGUGGCCUGGAGGCACAAAGGAGCUGUGUAGUGCACCAGGCCUCCUAGCUCAUCUUCUCCCGAGGCCUUAUUCCCCCUUCCCUGUCCCCCAACCUGCGGGGAAGAUGACCAUAGUAUUAUAAAAUCUGAGAGCUGGGUGGGACCUAGAGCUCUCAAAAGACUUAGCAAGGCCGGGCGCGGUGGCUCAUGCCUGUAAUCCCAGCACUUUGGGAGGCCCAGGUCAGGGGAUCAUUAAGUCAAGAGAUCAAGACCAUCCUGGCCAACAUGGUGAAACCCCGUCUCUACUAAAAAUAGAAAAAUGAGCUGGGUGUGGUGGCGGGCCCCCGUAGUCCCAGCUACUCGGGAGGCUGAGGCAGGAGAAUCACUUGAACCCAGGAGGUGG